Molecule: ribosomal RNA, 938 nt
Filed under: Priestia megaterium
Lineage: Bacteria; Bacillati; Bacillota; Bacilli; Caryophanales; Bacillaceae
Description: bacterial SSU rRNA
Rfam family: Bacterial small subunit ribosomal RNA
Source: RNAcentral
GAGAGUUUAAUCCUGGCUCAGGACGAACGCUGGCGGCGUGCCUAAUACAUGCAAGUCGAGCGGACAGAUGGGAGCUUGCUCCCUGAUGUUAGCGGCGGACGGGUGAGUAACACGUGGGUAACCUGCCUGUAAGACUGGGAUAACUCCGGGAAACCGGGGCUAAUACCGGAUGGUUGUUUGAACCGCAUGGUUCAGACAUAAAAGGUGGCUUCGGCUACCACUUACAGAUGGACCCGCGGCGCAUUAGCUAGUUGGUGAGGUAACGGCUCACCAAGGCAACGAUGCGUAGCCGACCUGAGAGGGUGAUCGGCCACACUGGGACUGAGACACGGCCCAGACUCCUACGGGAGGCAGCAGUAGGGAAUCUUCCGCAAUGGACGAAAGUCUGACGGAGCAACGCCGCGUGAGUGAUGAAGGUUUUCGGAUCGUAAAGCUCUGUUGUUAGGGAAGAACAAGUGCCGUUCAAAUAGGACGGCACCUUGACGGUACCUAACCAGAAAGCCACGGCUAACUACGUGCCAGCAGCCGCGGUAAUACGUAGGUGGCAAGCGUUGUCCGGAAUUAUUGGGCGUAAAGGGCUCGCAGGCGGUUUCUUAAGUCUGAUGUGAAAGCCCCCGGCUCAACCGGGGAGGGUCAUUGGAAACUGGGGAAGCCCUUGAGUGCCGCAGAAGAGGAGAGUGGAAUCCCACGUGUAGCGGUGAAAUGCGUAGAGAUGUGGAGGAACACCAGUGGCGAAGGCGACUCUCUGGUCUGUAACUGACGCUGAGGAGCGAAAGCGUGGGGAGCGAACAGGAUUAGAUACCCUGGUAGUCCACGCCGUAAACGAUGAGUGCUAAGUGUUAGGGGGUUUCCGCCCCUUAGUGCUGCAGCUAACGCAUUAAGCACUCCGCCUGGGGAGUACGGUCGCAAGACUGAAACUCAAAGGAAUUGACGGGGGC